RNAcentral lists this ribosomal RNA (796 nucleotides) under Flavobacterium sp. Its description in RNAcentral is "bacterial SSU rRNA". It matches the Rfam family "Bacterial small subunit ribosomal RNA", at positions 62 to 864 of the family's 1533-position model. Lineage: Bacteria; Pseudomonadati; Bacteroidota; Flavobacteriia; Flavobacteriales; Flavobacteriaceae. The record is from RNAcentral.
UCGAGGGGUAUAGUUCUUCGGAAUUAGAGACCGGCGCACGGGUGCGUAACGCGUAUGCAAUCUACCUUUUACAGAGGGAUAGCCCAGAGAAAUUUGGAUUAAUACCUCAUAGCAUUGCAGGAUGGCAUCAUCCAGCAAUUAAAGUCACAACGGUAAAAGAUGAGCAUGCGUCCCAUUAGCUAGUUGGUAAGGUAACGGCUUACCAAGGCUACGAUGGGUAGGGGUCCUGAGAGGGAGAUCCCCCACACUGGUACUGAGACACGGACCAGACUCCUACGGGAGGCAGCAGUGAGGAAUAUUGGACAAUGGGCGCAAGCCUGAUCCAGCCAUGCCGCGUGCAGGAUGACGGUCCUAUGGAUUGUAAACUGCUUUUAUACGAGAAGAAACACUCCGACGUGUCGGAGCUUGACGGUAUCGUAAGAAUAAGGAUCGGCUAACUCCGUGCCAGCAGCCGCGGUAAUACGGAGGAUCCAAGCGUUAUCCGGAAUCAUUGGGUUUAAAGGGUCCGUAGGCGGUUUAAUAAGUCAGUGGUGAAAGCCCAUCGCUCAACGGUGGAACGGCCAUUGAUACUGUUAGACUUGAAUUAUUAGGAAGUAACUAGAAUAUGUAGUGUAGCGGUGAAAUGCUUAGAGAUUACAUGGAAUACCAAUUGCGAAGGCAGGUUACUACUAAUGGAUUGACGCUGAUGGACGAAAGCGUGGGUAGCGAACAGGAUUAGAUACCCUGGUAGUCCACGCCGUAAACGAUGGAUACUAGCUGUUGGAAGCAAUUUCAGUGGCUAAGCGAAAGUGAUAAG